GACGAACGCUGGCGGCGUGCCUAAUACAUGCAAGUCGAACGCAGUGGGGACGGGUGAUUAACACGUGGGUAACCUCCCAUCAGAGGGGAUAACACUUGGAAACAGGUGCUAAACCGAUAUUGAUGUAUGGACCCUCGGUGCAUUAGCCAGUUGGUGGGGUAACGGCUCACCAAGGCCACGAUGCAUAGCGGACCUGAGAGGGUGAUCAGCCACACUGGAACUGAGACACGGCCCAGACUCCUACGGGAGGCAGCAGUAGGGAAUCUUCGACAAUGGGCGAAAGUCUGACCGAGCAAGGCCGCGUGAGUGAAGAAGGUUUUCGGAUCGUAAAGCACUGUUGUUAGAGAAGCGGUAUCUAACCAGAAAGCCACGGCUAACUACGUGCCAGCAGCCGCGGUAAUAC
RNAcentral lists this ribosomal RNA (403 nucleotides) under uncultured bacterium. RNAcentral's name for it is "partial 16S ribosomal RNA". It matches the Rfam family "Bacterial small subunit ribosomal RNA", at positions 28 to 526 of the family's 1533-position model. The record is from RNAcentral.